This 281-nucleotide ribosomal RNA is filed under the name Encephalitozoon cuniculi. Its description in RNAcentral is "partial 16S ribosomal RNA". It matches the Rfam family "Microsporidia small subunit ribosomal RNA", at positions 4 to 265 of the family's 1311-position model. Lineage: Eukaryota; Fungi; Microsporidia; Unikaryonidae. The record is from RNAcentral.
CAGGUUGAUUCUGCCUGACGUGGAUGCUAUUCUCUGGGGCUAAGCCAUGCAUGCUUGUGAACUCUUUGUGGGGGAUUAGCGGACGGCUCAGUGAUAGCACGAUGAUUUGUUUGCGGGAUGAGCAGUAGCUGCGGGAAACUGCAGAUAGUGGUCUGCCCCUGUGGGGGUUGGCAAGUAAGUUGUGGGCCUAUCAGCUGGUAGUUAGGGUAAUGGCCUAACUAGGCGCAGACGGGAUACGGGGGAUCAGGGUUUGGUUCCGGAGAGGGAGCCUGGAGAGAUGG